RNAcentral lists this ribosomal RNA (465 nucleotides) under Vreelandella stevensii. RNAcentral's name for it is "partial 16S ribosomal RNA". It matches the Rfam family "Bacterial small subunit ribosomal RNA", at positions 338 to 795 of the family's 1533-position model. The record is from RNAcentral. Lineage: Bacteria; Pseudomonadati; Pseudomonadota; Gammaproteobacteria; Oceanospirillales; Halomonadaceae.
CCUACGGGUGGCAGCAGUGGGGAAUAUUGGACAAUGGGGGCAACCCUGAUCCAGCCAUGCCGCGUGUGUGAAGAAGACCCUCGGGUUGUAAAGCACUUUCAGUGAGGAAGAACGCCUGGUGGUUAAUACCCAUCAGGAAAGACAUCACUCACAGAAGAAGCACCGGCUAACACCGUGCCAGCAGCCGCGGUAAUACGGAGGGUGCGAGCGUUAAUCGGAAUUACUGGGCGUAAAGCGCGCGUAGGUGGCUUGAUAAGCCGGUUGUGAAAGCCCCGGGCUCAACCUGGGAACGGCAUCCGGAACUGUCAAGCUAGAGUGCAGGAGAGGAAGGUAGAAUUCCCGGUGUAGCGGUGAAAUGCGUAGAGAUCGGGAGGAAUACCAGUGGCGAAGGCGGCCUUCUGGACUGACACUGACACUGAGGUGCGAAAGCGUGGGUAGCAAACAGGAUUAGAUACCCCUGUAGUC